GUGGUAUAGCCCGGUCAAGUAUGGCGGCCUCUCGAGCCGCAGACCCGAGUUCAAAUCUCGGC
Molecule: transfer RNA, 62 nt
Filed under: Thermoprotei archaeon
Lineage: Archaea; Thermoproteati; Thermoproteota; Thermoprotei
Description: tRNA-Glu
Rfam family: tRNA
About the family: Transfer RNA (tRNA) molecules are approximately 80 nucleotides in length. Their secondary structure includes four short double-helical elements and three loops (D, anti-codon, and T loops).
Source: RNAcentral